This 620-nucleotide ribosomal RNA is filed under the name uncultured bacterium. RNAcentral describes it as "bacterial SSU rRNA". The stretch from base 79 to 620 matches the Rfam family "Bacterial small subunit ribosomal RNA", at positions 1 to 530 of the family's 1533-position model. The record is from RNAcentral.
UCAGCGAGGGUGGAGUGUUAUAAAAAANAAUCGAUGGGCCGUANUCUCAGCUCCCGGCCGCCAUGGUUCCGCCGCGGGAUUCGAUUGAGUUUGAUCCUGGCUCAGGAUGAACGCUGGCGGCGUGCUUAACACAUGCAAGUCGAACGGAGAUAUCAUUUUCGAAGCGAUUAGUUUACUAAGAGUGGAGAUGUUGGUAUCUUAGUGGCGGACGGGUGAGUAACGCGUGGGUAACCUGCCUUACACUGGGGGAUAACACUUAGAAAUAGGUGCUAAUACCGCAUAACAGGAGAAGAUGCAUGUCUUUUCCUUAAAAACUCCGGUGGUGUAAGAUGGACCCGCGUCUGAUUAGCUGGUUGGCGGGGUAACGGCCCACCAAGGCGACGAUCAGUAGCCGGCCCGAGAGGGUGAACGGCCACAUUGGGACUGAGACACGGCCCAAUCUCCUACGGGAGGCAGCAGUGGGGAAUAUUGGACAAUGGGGGGAACCCUGAUCCAGCGACGCCGCGUGAGUGAAGAAGUAUUUCGGUAUGUAAAGCUCUAUCAGCAGGGAAAAAAGAAAUGACGGUACCUGACUAAGAAGCCCCGGCUAACUACGUGCCAGCAGCCGCGGUAAUACGUAG